AAAGAGUCUAAUGAGGUG
Molecule: unclassified non-coding RNA, 18 nt
Filed under: Mus musculus (house mouse)
Lineage: Eukaryota; Metazoa; Chordata; Mammalia; Rodentia; Muridae
Description: oocyte_clustered_small_RNA7391
Source: RNAcentral